CCUACGGGAGGCUGCAGUGGGGAAUAUUGGACAAUGGGCGAAAGCCUGAUCCAGCCAUGCCGCGUGUGUGAAGAAGGCCUUCGGGUUGUAAAGCACUUUCAGUGGGGAAGAAAGCCUUGGGGCUAAUACCCUCGAGGAAGGACAUCACCCACAGAAGAAGCACCGGCUAACUCCGUGCCAGCAGCCGCGGUAAUACGGAGGGUGCGAGCGUUAAUCGGAAUUACUGGGCGUAAAGCGCGCGUAGGCGGUCUGAUAAGCCGGUUGUGAAAGCCCCGGGCUCAACCUAGGAACGGCAUCCGGAACUGUCAGGCUAGAGUGCAGGAGAGGAAGGUAGAAUUCCCGGUGUAGCGGUGAAAUGCGUAGAGAUCGGGAGGAAUACCAGUGGCGAAGGCGGCCUUCUGGACUGACACUGACGCUGAGGUGCGAAAGCGUGGGUAGCAAACAGGAUUAGAUACCCCAGUAGUC
This 465-nucleotide ribosomal RNA is filed under the name Vreelandella stevensii. RNAcentral's name for it is "partial 16S ribosomal RNA". It matches the Rfam family "Bacterial small subunit ribosomal RNA", at positions 338 to 795 of the family's 1533-position model. The record is from RNAcentral. Lineage: Bacteria; Pseudomonadati; Pseudomonadota; Gammaproteobacteria; Oceanospirillales; Halomonadaceae.